Molecule: ribosomal RNA, 415 nt
Filed under: uncultured Chloroflexota bacterium
Lineage: Bacteria; Bacillati; Chloroflexota
Description: bacterial SSU rRNA
Rfam family: Bacterial small subunit ribosomal RNA
Source: RNAcentral
AACGCGAAGAACCUUACCCAGACUUGACAUGCGAGUGGUAGGAACCCGAAAGGGAACCGACCCGCAAGGGAGCUCGUACAGGUGUUGCACGGCUGUCGUCAGCUCGUGUCGUGAGAUGUUGGGUUAAGUCCCGCAACGAGCGCAACCCUCGGGGUCUGUUGUAUCUCUCAGAUCCCACUGCCGAGAGAAACUCGGAGGAAGGUGGGGACGAAGUCAAGUCCGCGUGGCCUUUAUGUCUGGGGCUACACGCACGCUACAAUCGCCGGUCACAGCGGGUCGCGACAACGCAAGUUGAAGCUAAUCCCUUAAAACCGGCGUCAGUUCAGAUCGAAGGCUGCAACCCGCCUUCGUGAAGUCGGAGUUGCUAGUAACCGCGGGUCAGCACACCGCGGUGAAUAUGUUCCCGGGCCUUGUA